Molecule: RNA transcript, 1403 nt
Organism: Cavia porcellus (domestic guinea pig)
Lineage: Eukaryota; Metazoa; Chordata; Mammalia; Rodentia; Caviidae
Gene name: melanoma-associated antigen 10-like
Exons: 4
Source: RefSeq, a predicted model, not a curated record
UCACUCCCCCACUGUGCCUGUGUGAAGACUCUGGGAGCAGAGCUCCCUGCCAUCCCUGAAGAUCACAGCAAUGCCUGUCCCCUGAAGCGCCGCCUGGAGUCCCCAGAGUCUGCGUUCCGAGUAUCAGAAAGGCUGAAUCGGAGCUGCUCCCCACUCUUCUGUUUCCCAAGACUGCAGGAGCUCCAGGAAGCAGGGGUGUAACAGCCGUGUCCACAGCUCACAGCAGCAGAGGAGGCCCGGCGGCAUCAGGAGUCCAGGAUCCUGAGUCCUGGUCUCGAGCUCUUGCUGUCCCCGAGCAACCUGAGAACUCCUUCAUCACAAGGACAGCCCGCGCUUCAAGCUAGGGAGGUGGCCUGGCCUCAAUAGAGACACGAAGCCCAGCGGGUGUGCCUGUUCUCAGUCGGAGUAGAGUGAGCAGCAGCCACUGCUUCCUCUGCAUCCUCUUCCUGCUCUGCUCGACUCCAAGGCUCCCCACCAAAGGGGCCUCAGGUUUCUCAGGAUAUCUUCUCCCCUCCACUGUCAUGGCCCUCAGACAAAGGAGCUCAACCCGUCAGGGUGUGAACAGGGCUCGUGAGGCACGUCCACGUGCCUCGCAGGAGCAAGAAGCUCCUCUGCCCCUGCCCAUUGAUGUCCUACAUAUGAAAAUAGAUGAAAUGGUGGAGUUCCUGCUAUACAAGUAUAGCAAUAAGGAGCUGACCACCAGGGCAGAAAUGCUGCACAGUUUCAUGAAGGAUCACAAGGAGCACUUCACUCUGAUCUUUACCAAAGUCUGUGAUUGCUUGUACAUGGUCUUUGGCAUUGAUGUGAAGGAAUUGGAUCCACCUGGGCACAUAUAUUCCCUGGUCCCUGUCCUGGGUCUCACCUAUAAUGAGAUAGUGGGUGAAGACCACAGCAUUGCCAAAACCGGCCUCUUGGUAAUGAUUAUCAGCAUCAUCUUCAGAAGGGGUAACCGUGCCAGUGAGGAGACUGUGUGGCUCACUCUUAAUAGAAUGCAGGUGUUUGAUGGGGUAGAGCACUAUGUCUAUGGGGAGCCCAGGAAAUUUAUCACUGAGGAUUUGGUUCAGGAAGGAUAUGUAGUGUAUCAUCAGAUACCUGACAGCAAUCCUGCUCGCUAUGAGUUUCUGUGGGGUCCAAGGACCUAUGCUGAAACCACCAAGAUGAAAGUCCUGGAGCAUUUGGCCAAGGUCAAUAAUCGAGACCCUUGGUCCUAUCCAAGUCUGUAUGAGGAUGCUUUAAGAGAGCAGCAAGAGGCUGCCCAUGGACGACGUAUGGGCUGCUAAGGGUGCAAAGUGUAGACAGGGGCGGGACAUGUUCACAAGCCAUGUCACCUACUCAGCCUCUGUCCAUGUGCAGUGCUGCCCAUUCUGUAGUCUGUGUUAGAGGAGAGUAGCCUGCUCAGUAGG